GUGGGUAUAGUUCAGUGGUAGGAUGUGUGCUUAGCACGCAGAAGGUUCUGGGUUCAAUCCCCCGUACCUCCA
This 72-nucleotide transfer RNA is filed under the name Camelus ferus (Wild Bactrian camel). It matches the Rfam family "tRNA". Rfam says of the family: Transfer RNA (tRNA) molecules are approximately 80 nucleotides in length. Their secondary structure includes four short double-helical elements and three loops (D, anti-codon, and T loops). The record is from Rfam by way of RNAcentral. Lineage: Eukaryota; Metazoa; Chordata; Mammalia; Artiodactyla; Camelidae.